Molecule: long non-coding RNA, 192 nt
Organism: Erpetoichthys calabaricus (reedfish)
Lineage: Eukaryota; Metazoa; Chordata; Cladistia; Polypteriformes; Polypteridae
Exons: 2
Source: RefSeq, a predicted model, not a curated record
UUACAUUUCAUGUCAUCGAUGUUCUCAAAUGUGUGAGUAUAGCUUGACUCUUACAAGGACUUCUCUAAAAAGGGCACAUUGGCCAUGAAAUGCAAGAAGGCAGAGAAAUAUAAAAAGUGGAAACCACAAAAUGAAGAGGUGACAUCGAUGAAAUACACUCAGUGGCAGAGGUGACGAGGACAAAAUCAGAAA